Unclassified non-coding RNA from Cavia porcellus (domestic guinea pig), 290 nucleotides. Its record names the gene 7SK. It matches the Rfam family "7SK RNA". From Rfam's summary of the family: 7SK was discovered as an abundant small nuclear RNA in the mid-70s but a possible function has only recently been suggested. Two independent studies have found that 7SK RNA binds the CDK9/cyclin T complex (known as elongation factor P-TEFb). P-TEFb activates transcription by phosphorylating the C-terminal domain of RNA polymerase II. Lineage: Eukaryota; Metazoa; Chordata; Mammalia; Rodentia; Caviidae. The record is from Ensembl.
GGAUGUGAGGGCAAUCUGGGUGCAACAUCUGUCACCCUAUUGAUUGCCAGGGUUGACUUGGAAGGCAGGUGUCCCCUUCCUCCCUCGCUGCUCCAUGUGCAUCCCUCCCAAAGCUGCACACUCAAUCAAAGAGGAGGACCACCCCCGACAGAGAAGAACUGGUUCCUCACACAAGCAUAUGUGACUAGCUGCUCUCUCCUGCUAAACCUCCAAACAAGCUCUCAAGCAAACAUUGUUUUAUUUCACUUAGCCAGGUGACUUGCUCUGAAAACAUGCCAAAAUAAACGUUU